GGUAGCGUGGCCGAGCGGUCUAAGGCGCUGGUUUAAGUCACCAGUCUCGAAAGAGGCGUGGGUUCGAAUCCCACCGCUGCCA
This is a non-coding RNA of Nematostella vectensis (starlet sea anemone), 82 nucleotides long. NCBI's taxonomy places the organism in Eukaryota, Metazoa, Cnidaria, Anthozoa, Actiniaria, Edwardsiidae. The record is from Rfam.